AGGUCAAGCUACGAAGAGCGCAUGGUGAAUGCCUUGGCACUAGGAGCCGAUGAAGGACGCGAUAAGCUGCGAUAAGCUUCGGGUAGGCGCAAAUAGCCUGUGAUCCGGAGAUUUCCGAAUGGGGCAACCC
This 130-nucleotide ribosomal RNA is filed under the name uncultured bacterium. RNAcentral's name for it is "partial 23S ribosomal RNA". It matches the Rfam family "Bacterial large subunit ribosomal RNA", at positions 1 to 129 of the family's 2925-position model. The record is from RNAcentral.